Molecule: transfer RNA, 69 nt
Filed under: Rattus norvegicus (Norway rat)
Lineage: Eukaryota; Metazoa; Chordata; Mammalia; Rodentia; Muridae
Rfam family: tRNA
About the family: Transfer RNA (tRNA) molecules are approximately 80 nucleotides in length.
Source: Rfam by way of RNAcentral
GGGGAUUUAGCUCAGUGGUAGAGCGCUUGCCUAGCAAGCUCAAGACCCUGGGUUCGGUCCCCAGUUCCA